UACAGAGGGGGCAAGCGUUAUUCGGAAUUAUUGGGCGUAAAGGGCGCGUAGGCGGCUUGGCAAGUGGAAGGUGAAAUCCCUCGGCUUAACCGAGGAACUGCCCUCCAAACUGCUUCGCUUGAGACCGGGAGAGGUGAGUGGAAUUCCCAGUGUAGCGGUGAAAUGCGUAGAUAUUGGGAGGAACACCAGUGGCGAAGGCGGCUCACUGGACAACUCCUGACACUGAGGCACGAAAGCUAGGGGAGCAAACAGG
This 253-nucleotide ribosomal RNA is filed under the name uncultured bacterium. Its description in RNAcentral is "partial 16S ribosomal RNA". It matches the Rfam family "Bacterial small subunit ribosomal RNA", at positions 524 to 776 of the family's 1533-position model. The record is from RNAcentral.